CCUACGGGGGGCUGCAGUGGGGAAUAUUGGACAAUGGGGGGAACCCUGAUCCAGCCAUGCCGCGUGUGUGAAGAAGGCCCGCGGGUUGUAAAGCACUUUCAGUGAGGAAGAACGCCUGGUGGUUAAUACCCAUCAGGAAAGACAUCACUCACAGAAGAAGCACCGGCUAACUCCGUGCCAGCAGCCGCGGUAAUACGGAGGGUGCGAGCGUUAAUCGGAAUUACUGGGCGUAAAGCGCGCGUAGGUGGCUUGAUAAGCCGGUUGUGAAAGCCCCGGGCUCAACCUGGGAACGGCAUCCGGAACUGGCAAGCUAGAGUGCAGGAGAGGAAGGUAGAAUUCCCGGUGUAGCGGUGAAAUGCGUAGAGAUCGGGAGGAAUACCAGUGGCGAAGGCGGCCUUCUGGACUGACACUGACACUGAGGUGCGAAAGCGUGGGUAGCAAACAGGAUUAGAUACCCUUGUAGUC
This 465-nucleotide ribosomal RNA is filed under the name Vreelandella stevensii. RNAcentral describes it as "partial 16S ribosomal RNA". It matches the Rfam family "Bacterial small subunit ribosomal RNA", at positions 338 to 795 of the family's 1533-position model. The record is from RNAcentral. Lineage: Bacteria; Pseudomonadati; Pseudomonadota; Gammaproteobacteria; Oceanospirillales; Halomonadaceae.